UACGUAGGGUGCGAGCGUUGUCCGGAAUUAUUGGGCGUAAAGGGCUCGUAGGCGGUCUGUCGCGUCGGGAGUGAAAACUCAGGGCUUAACCCUGAGCCUGCUUCCGAUACGGGCAGACUAGAGGUAUGCAGGGGAGAACGGAAUUCCUGGUGUAGCGGUGGAAUGCGCAGAUAUCAGGAGGAACACCGGUGGCGAAGGCGGUUCUCUGGGCAUUACCUGACGCUGAGGAGCGAAGGUGUGGGGAGCGAACAGG
RNAcentral lists this ribosomal RNA (253 nucleotides) under uncultured bacterium. Its description in RNAcentral is "partial 16S ribosomal RNA". It matches the Rfam family "Bacterial small subunit ribosomal RNA", at positions 524 to 776 of the family's 1533-position model. The record is from RNAcentral.